GGACCCGCACAAGUAGUGGAGCAUGUGGUUUAAUUCGAAGAUACGCGCAGAACCUUACCAACACUUGACAUGUUCGUCGCGACUUUAAGAGAUUAAAGUUUUCGGUUCGGCCGGACGAAACACAGGUGCUGCAUGGCUGUCGUCAGCUCGUGUCGUGAGAUGUUGGGUUAAGUCCCGCAACGAGCGCAACCCUCACUUUUAGUUGCCAUCAUUUAGUUGGGCACUCUGAAAGAACUGCCAGUGAUAAGCUGGAGGAAGGUGGGGAUGACGUCAAGUCCUCAUGGCCCUUACGUGUUGGGCUACACACGUGCUACAAUGGUACUUACAACAGGAAGCAAGACGGCGACGUUAAGCAAAUCCUUAAAAAGUACCUCAGUUCGGAUUGCACUCUGCAACUCGAGUGCAUGAAGCUGGAAUUACUAGUAAUCG
Molecule: ribosomal RNA, 429 nt
Filed under: uncultured bacterium
Lineage: Bacteria
Description: bacterial SSU rRNA
Rfam family: Bacterial small subunit ribosomal RNA
Source: RNAcentral